RNAcentral lists this transfer RNA (201 nucleotides) under Fusarium pseudograminearum CS3096. Its description in RNAcentral is "tRNA-Gly for anticodon GCC". The record is from RNAcentral. Lineage: Eukaryota; Fungi; Ascomycota; Sordariomycetes; Hypocreales; Nectriaceae.
GCGUAAUUGGUUUAGUGGUAAAAUUCUCCGUUGCCAGUCACUAUAUUAUUUAUUAAAUUUAAUUAAAUUUAAUAUUUUUAUUUUUAUUUUUUAUUUUCUUUCAAUUAAUUAAUUUAUAGUAUUAAAUCUCUAGGGUAUUAUAGGUUCCUUCGGAAUCCAUAAUACCCUAAACUAAACUGGGUUCGAUUCCCAGAUUACGCA